This 513-nucleotide ribosomal RNA is filed under the name Caulobacter sp. Its description in RNAcentral is "bacterial SSU rRNA". It matches the Rfam family "Bacterial small subunit ribosomal RNA", at positions 375 to 907 of the family's 1533-position model. The record is from RNAcentral. Lineage: Bacteria; Pseudomonadati; Pseudomonadota; Alphaproteobacteria; Caulobacterales; Caulobacteraceae.
GCGAAGCCUGAUCCAGCCAUGCCGCGUGAAUGAUGAAGGCCUUAGGGUUGUAAAAUUCUUUCAGCAGGGAAGAUAAUGACGGUACCUGCAGAAGAAGCCCCGGCUAACUCCGUGCCAGCAGCCGCGGUAAUACGGAGGGGGCUAGCGUUGUUCGGAAUUACUGGGCGUAAAGCGCUCGUAGGCGGAUUGGUCAGUCAGGGGUGAAAGCCCGGAGCUCAACUCCGGAACUGCCUUUGAUACUGCCAGUCUUGAGUUCGGGAGAGGUGAGCGGAAUACCGAGUGUAGAGGUGAAAUUCGUAGAUAUUCGGUGGAACACCAGAGGCGAAGGCGGCUCACUGGACCGAUACUGACGCUGAGGAGCGAAAGCGUGGGGAGCAAACAGGAUUAGAUACCCUGGUAGUCCACGCCGUAAACGAUGAGAGCUAGUUGUCUGGCAGCAUGCUGUUAGGUGACGCAGCUAACGCAUUAAGCUCUCCGCCUGGGGAGUACGGCCGCAAGGUUAAAACUCAAAUG